GUAUCAGAUUCAACUAGGAGAAAAUCCCACCUCCAGGCUCCAUUAAUCAUUCCAAUGGAGUGGAAGUUUCUCUCACAGCGAAACUAGUUAGGGGAUCCAAUGGAAAAAGAACGUUCACACGGACUAGAAGACGAAGCCAAUGGAAUGGAAAAUUGUCUUCGCGUUGAUAGAAGCAGCCAAUGAGAUGAAAAGAGCCCGCCUCCAAAGUGGCAGAGGCAAUGGGGUGAAUCGUGCCCAGAGGCGCGCUCCAAUGGGGUAGCAGGGCUCGCCCGACCGCCACUACCCCCCUUCCCCGCGCCCGGAGUCCCCACCGACGGCCGGCCGCGGAGCGGAGUGCUGACCGGGGUCCGAGGAGCUGCAGGUGUGACUGAUGGGAAUGAAGUGGCCAAGUCCCAGCAGGCAACUCCUGGGGGAGCAGCCCCAACCAUCUUCUCCCGGAUCCUGGACAGGAGCCUCCCAGCUGACAUUCUCUAUGAGGACCAGCAGUGUCUUGUGUUCCGUGAUGUGGCCCCUCAGGCUCCUGUGCACUUCCUGGUCAUUCCUAAGAAGCCCAUUCCUCGGAUUAGCCAGGCUGAAGAAGAAGACCAGCAGCUUCUAGGACACCUACUCCUUGUGGCCAAGAAGACAGCAAAGGCUGAGGGCCUGGGAGAUGGAUACCGACUUGUGAUCAACGAUGGGAAGCUGGGUGCACAAUCUGUGUAUCAUCUGCACAUUCAUGUACUUGGGGGCCGGCAGCUCCAGUGGCCUCCAGGUUGAACCUGCCAACUGACUAAAGGACACCAGACUCUGGAUGCUUGGAUGGAAAGGGAAAAAUGAACCCUGUGAUGCUAAUAAAACUGUUCUCCCUUAA
This 850-nucleotide small RNA is filed under the name Pongo abelii (Sumatran orangutan). RNAcentral's name for it is "processed transcript". The record is from RNAcentral. Lineage: Eukaryota; Metazoa; Chordata; Mammalia; Primates; Hominidae.